UACGUAGGUGGCAAGCGUUGUCCGGAUUUACUGGGCGUAAAGGGCGCGUAGGCGGCCUUCUAAGUCGUGCGUGAAAUCCCUCGGCUUAACCGAGGAACUGCGUUCGAUACUGGAAGGCUUGAAUCCGGGAGAGGGAUGUGGAAUUCCAGGUGUAGCGGUGAAAUGCGUAGAUAUCUGGAGGAACACCGGUGGCGAAGGCGGCAUCCUGGACCGGCAUUGACGCUGAGGCGCGAAAGCUAGGGGAGCAAACGGG
This 253-nucleotide ribosomal RNA is filed under the name uncultured bacterium. RNAcentral's name for it is "partial 16S ribosomal RNA". It matches the Rfam family "Bacterial small subunit ribosomal RNA", at positions 524 to 776 of the family's 1533-position model. The record is from RNAcentral.